Molecule: ribosomal RNA, 405 nt
Filed under: uncultured bacterium
Lineage: Bacteria
Description: bacterial SSU rRNA
Rfam family: Bacterial small subunit ribosomal RNA
Source: RNAcentral
UAGCGGAGCGUGUGGUUUAAUUCGAUAUUACACGAAAAACCUUACCAGGGUUUGACAUGUAGGUGGUAGUGAAGCGAAAGCGGAACGACUCUUCGGAGAGCCUGCACAGGUGCUGCAUGGCUGUCGUCAGCUCGUGCCGUGAGAUGUUCGGUUAAGUCCGCUAACGAGCGCAACCCCUGCUGUGUGUUACAAGUGUCACACGGGACUGCCGGUCUUAAGCCGGAGGAAGGUGGGGAUGACGUCAAGUCAGCAUGGCCUUUAUAUCCUGGGCUACACACACGCUACAAUGGGUGGUACAACAGGUUGCGAAACCGCGAGGUGGAGCCAAUCCUUAAAGCCAUCCUCAGUUCAGAUUGUAGGCUGCAACUCGCCUGCAUGAAGAUGGAGUUGCUAGUAACCGCAUAA